GACCUCGGAUCAGGUAGGAAUACCCGCUGAACUUAAGCAUAUCAAUAAGCGGAGGAAAAGAAACCAACAGGGAUUGCCUCAGUAACGGCGAGUGAAGCGGCAACAGCUCAAAUUUGAAAUCUGGCCCCCAGGGUCCGAGUUGUAAUUUGUAGAGGAUGCUUUUGGUGAGGUGCCUUCCGAGUUCCCUGGAACGGGACGCCAUAGAGGGUGAGAGCCCCGUCUGGUUGGACACCGAGCCUCUGUAAAGCUCCUUCGACGAGUCGAGUAGUUUGGGAAUGCUGCUCUAAAUGGGAGGUAUAUGUCUUCUAAAGCUAAAUAUUGGCCAGAGACCGAUAGCGCACAAGUAGAGUGAUCGAAAGAUGAAAAGCACUUUGAAAAGAGGGUUAAAAAGUACGUGAAAUUGUUGAAAGGGAAGCGC
This 418-nucleotide ribosomal RNA is filed under the name uncultured fungus. RNAcentral describes it as "eukaryotic LSU rRNA". It matches the Rfam family "Eukaryotic large subunit ribosomal RNA", at positions 1 to 422 of the family's 3401-position model. The record is from RNAcentral. Lineage: Eukaryota; Fungi.